UAGGGAAUUGUCGGCAAUGGGCGAAAGCCUGACCGCGCGACGCCGCGUGGAGGAAGAAGGCCUUCGGGUUGUAAACUUCUUUUGUGGGGGACGAUUAUGACGGUACCCCAAGAAUAAGGGCCUGCUAACUACGUGCCAGCAGCAGCGGUAAUACGUAGGGCCCGAGCAUUAUCCGGAAUUAUUGGGCGUAAAGAGCGUGUAGGUGUUUUAUUAAGUCGGUCGUUAAAUCUCACUGCUCAACAGUGAGGCCGCGAGCGAUACUAAUGAAAUUGAGGUUUGCAGGGGUGAGCAGAACUCUUGGAGUAGGGGUGAAAUCCGUUGAUACCAAGAAGAAUACCAAUGGCGAAGGCAGCUCACUAGGCAAUACCUGACACUGAGACGCGAAAGCGUGGGGAGCAAACGGG
RNAcentral lists this ribosomal RNA (404 nucleotides) under uncultured bacterium. Its description in RNAcentral is "bacterial SSU rRNA". It matches the Rfam family "Bacterial small subunit ribosomal RNA", at positions 355 to 776 of the family's 1533-position model. The record is from RNAcentral.